This 559-nucleotide ribosomal RNA is filed under the name uncultured bacterium. RNAcentral's name for it is "bacterial SSU rRNA". It matches the Rfam family "Bacterial small subunit ribosomal RNA", at positions 969 to 1532 of the family's 1533-position model. The record is from RNAcentral.
CCUUACCCACCUUUGACAUGUACGGAAGUUGCCAGAGAUGGCUUCGUGCUCGAAAGAGAGCCGUAACACAGGCGCUGCAUGGCUGUCGUCAGCUCGUGUCGUGAGAUGUUGGGUUAAGUCCCGCAACGAGCGCAACCCUUGUCAUUAGUUGCUACGAAAGGGCACUCUAAUGAGACUGCCGGUGACAAACCGGAGGAAGGUGGGGAUGACGUCAAGUCCUCAUGGCCCUUAUAGGUGGGGCUACACACGUCAUACAAUGGCUGGUACAAAGGGUUGCCAACCCGCGAGGGGGAGCCAAUCCCAUAAAGCCAGUCGUAGUCCGGAUCGCAGUCUGCAACUCGACUGCGUGAAGUCGGAAUCGCUAGUAAUCGUGGAUCAGCAUGUCACGGUGAAUACGUUCCCGGGUCUUGUACACACCGCCCGUCACACCAUGGGAGCGGGUCUCGCCAGAAGUAGUUAGCCUAACCGCAAGGAGGGCGAUUACCACGGCGGGGUUCGUGACUGGGGUGAAGUCGUAACAAGGUAGCCGUAUCGGAAGGUGCGGCUGGAUCACCUCCUU